RNAcentral lists this ribosomal RNA (513 nucleotides) under uncultured bacterium. RNAcentral's name for it is "bacterial SSU rRNA". It matches the Rfam family "Bacterial small subunit ribosomal RNA", at positions 15 to 518 of the family's 1533-position model. The record is from RNAcentral.
GAUUCUGGCUCAGGAUGAACGCUAGCUACAGGCUUAACACAUGCAAGUCGAGGGGCAGCAUGGGAUAGCUUGCUAUUCAGAUGGCGACCGGCGCACGGGUGAGUAACGCGUAUCCAACCUUCCUGCCAGUAGGGAACAGCCCGGCGAAAGUCGGAUUAAUGCCCUAUGUUCUUCAAUGCGGACAUCUAAGUUGAAGGAAAGAUUCAUCGCUGGCAGAUGGGGAUGCGUCCGAUUAGCUUGCCGGCGGGGUAACGGCCCACCGGGGCGACGAUCGGUAGGGGUUCUGAGAGGAAGGUCCCCCACACUGGUACUGAGACACGGACCAGACUCCUACGGGAGGCAGCAGUGAGGAAUAUUGGUCAAUGGGCGUAAGCCUGAACCAGCCAAGUAGCGUGCAAGGAUGACGGCCCUACGGGUUGUAAACUGCUUUUAUGCGGGGAUAAAGUGCGGCACGUGUGCCGCUUUGCAGGUACCGCAUGAAUAAGGACCGGCUAAUUCCGUGCCAGCCGCUGC